This 304-nucleotide ribosomal RNA is filed under the name uncultured bacterium. RNAcentral's name for it is "partial 16S ribosomal RNA". It matches the Rfam family "Bacterial small subunit ribosomal RNA", at positions 527 to 830 of the family's 1533-position model. The record is from RNAcentral.
GUAGGGYGCGAGCGUUAAUCGGAAUUWSUGGGYGUAAAGCGUGYRCAGGCGGUUAUAUAAGACAGUUGUGAAAUCCCCGGGCUUAACCUGGGAACUGCAUCUGUGACUGUAUANCUAGAGUACGGCAGAGGGGGAUGGAAUUCCGCGUGUAGCAGUGAAAUGCGUAGAUAUGCGGAGGAACACCGAUGGCGAAGGCAAUCCCCUGGGCYUGUACUGACGCUCAUGCACGAAAGCGUGGGGAGCAAACAGGAUUAGAUACCCUGGUAGUCCAGGCCCUAAACGAUGUCUACUGGKUGUUGGGUCU